ACCUACAGGACAAAACAAUCAGAGUCACAGGCUGCCGCUUCAACACACACACCUGAACACACACCUGAGCUCUGAUGAGACAUGACGUCAUCACAUCCCAGGACCAAUAUCAUGUCAUUAAUCAAAGUUAAAUAAGGAAACUGUCAAGAAAGAUUUAGCUUAAAAGUUAAACCCGGUUCAGAUUCUAACAUGAUUUCACAUGAAGAUUGAGUUUAAAUUUAAAAUGUUCUGUUCAUUUUUUCACCACAAUCCAAGAAACUCAGGUAGAAUUGGUCUUACAAAGAAAGAAAAACAUGACUCACUUCAUGUUCUUUGAUCAAAAAGAAGAAAAAGCAGCAAACACCCACUCACAUUUCAAGUGUUGCUGCAGUCUGAGAACAUAAAGAACCAAACAUGUUUCUGUGGGGAAAAAAUCUGAAAUUUACCCAAAUUCAAAAAAAAACAAGGCUUACAUUUCUCAAAAAUUGUUUAUUUACGUUAAAAAUGGUUUUCUAUAAUUAUCUAAAGCUCGUGUUUGCGCCGUGUUAUUUUAAAGACGUGUAAUUUCAGGCACAAACUUUUAAUUCCAUUUCACUAUAAUUAGAGGUAAAAACAGACCAAAGCUGGUUAAGUGAAACAAGUUUGUUUUUCUCAUCACCAAAUGUUGAAAACAUUCACACAUGGUUGGAAAAUGAACAAACAUCAGAAGCUAAUGUCAUAAAAACUGAAGUGAAACCUAAAUGUUUCCAUCAGGAACAUGAAUAAAUAUUAUUAAACCUUAUGGAGCAUCUAAUGCAACAAUCUUCAGUCUUAAGUUUCACCUUUACCUCCCUGAGACAAACAGAACAAGAACAGUUCAAAUGUCUUUAAAUUUCUUGUAAAAUUCUACAAAAAAUACAUUUUCAGACUUCUAAGAAUAGACUUCUACACCUAAAGCACUAAAUGUUCUUAAACAGAUUCKGACUAAUUGAGUUCUGUCAGUGAAUCUUCAAGGUAAAAACCCUUUUCUUCAAAAACCCACUUCAAAGUUUCUAAAAGAUGCUUCAGUGCUUUAAGGAAAUCCGGACAAAAGGCAAUCAGAUUUUAAAAAUCUUUUCUGCUGAAAAAAAGGACAAUUAGCUCAUUAAAACYGAAUAAAAUGGACUGAUUAAUUAGUCAGAAAUUUAAAAGUUCAAUGCAACAGAAAUCCACGGAGAGGAGCCAAAUAAAGCAAAGUGCUGUUUAAUUAAAUUUCAGGAGACUGAAAGAAGUGGAGAUGAUUUUAUUGUUGAUUACAACCUGGUUUAGGUGAUCAUAGCUCACUGAAAAACAAACUGCUGAGAACAACAAAUGUCCAACUUAUAUUUAUAUGUUUAUGUGAUGAAACAUGAUGGGAAAUGUUUCAAAUAGCUUUCAAUGACACUUUUAGUGGCCUUUUAGCACUCAGGAUGUGUUAGGGAUGACUUUUAGCUACUACCACAGAUARUGUAGCUGUAAAAUGAAUGUAUUUAGCUCUGAGAGAUUUCAAAGGUUCARUGGUGCUGGUGGGGGUGAUAUGUGCWGGGUUGGCUAACAGAUAUAUAAUAUAUAAUGAAAUGAGAUUGGAUUCAAACAGAAGCRUCCAAUAUAAAAUUAUGAAAAUCUGCUGUAAAUCGACAUGUUUUUUAAGACAAACAUUAAACCAAGCUUAGCUGCAUUAAAAGGUUCCAGCUAGAAUUUAAACAGAAAAGGGAUUUGUUAGCUACGCUAGCCGUUAGCCAGUCAGAACAGUAGUUUUGCUGCUUUUCCUUUUGUCAAAUUUGAACAUCCUUUGGUCUGUCCACCUUCAACUUCCAAAAUAUAAACCCAUGGAGGAAAUUUCAGUAACUGAAAGAUCAAAAUGAAAAUGAUUCAUUUAAAUAAUAAUUACAAAAUAAAUACAGGCUAAAAUAAACACUUUCUUUCUGCAGGUGUGUGCGUGUCUGSUGCAUCUUUGGUGUAAACAAGUUUGUUCUUCAUUCGGUGAAGUUACACACAGCAGCAUUUGUCAGUAAACUUGCAGAAGUUUCAUGAACAGCACAAUAAAAACAUGUCCUGCUUCACCCCGCCUGCCUGUCGAACACAGACGGACAGAACAGCAGAACCAGCAGAACCAGCAAUCAGUCUCGGUGAAAGCCCCUCAUCAUUUCAGAGCCCCCCUCCCGCCUGACCCUCCUCCAACAUUUACAGAGUGAUCCACRCUCAGAGGGAAUGGAAGCAGGCACCUCCACGCCUCCACUGUUCCAGCAGCUCCUCUCUCUGCCGUCUCAAACAGCCAUGUUUCCACCGCUCUGCUGGGUGGCGGCCUCAGCCACCCACCUCUCCAUUAUCACCUCAUUAGUGGGCAUCAAAACCCGGCCCACCCCCCAUUUUGGCUCCAGCCUCAAUCAGCCCAUUAAUCACAGCAGAGCGGAGAAUCCUUCCGUCCUCUGAGAGCUCACUGUGUAUUCUGCCGGCCCCUGCUGUGUGUGCACGUGUGUGCACGUUUGUGCACGUGUGUGUGUGAGUGUGUGUGUGUGUGUUGGCAUGCUGGUGCAUACAAAUGAUGCGGCUACAGCCUGCCAUCUGUUGACUCCGAACAGUAAUGUCUCCAUGCCGUCAUGCAUGACACUCUCCCAUCAUUAGGCUGCUCUCUUAUCCUUUAGAAAAACAGAUUUUUAUAGAUUUGAAACAAAACUCAUGUUUCCUCCACCCUUAUGUAAAUAACACUUUGUGCACAUUAAAGGCAGAGACACUCA
Austrofundulus limnaeus is the source of this 2714-nucleotide long non-coding RNA. RefSeq lists it as uncharacterized. The transcript has 2 exons. Lineage: Eukaryota; Metazoa; Chordata; Actinopteri; Cyprinodontiformes; Rivulidae. The record is from RefSeq and is a predicted model, not a curated record.